This 64-nucleotide transfer RNA is filed under the name Xyloredo sp. E88. Its description in RNAcentral is "tRNA-Arg". Lineage: Eukaryota; Metazoa; Mollusca; Bivalvia; Myida; Pholadidae. The record is from RNAcentral.
GGGGUGGUAGUAUAGUUAUUGCACACGAUUUCGGCUCGUGGGACGGAAGGUCUUCCCCACCCUU